AGGAGCGGGACGCGCUGUCCAGUGGCUGCUUGCAGCAAGAAGCGAGCGCGGCGGCCCUGGAAGCGGGGAGGUGGAGGAGGGACGAGCAGAGACAGGCAGCGCUUUUGUGGGAGGACUGUAACUGUACUCCGCUCGGGAUUCCUCUCCUGUUCAGUCCACUAUAUUUAGCACUCUGUGGCCCAGUCAUCUCUUGGUACAAAUGGAGUACAUGAAGUGAAGUGCAGAUCAAGCAUGGAAACUACGAGCAGCAAUUCCUGCGAGCGUGACCACAAGGAAAACCACCGCCAGCCAUCUCCACGAUCACUCAACAAGCUUCUCUAGCUGGGGGUGUAAAUGCAUUUGUUCCACAGUGAAUCAGGAUUGCUUGUGUGCUUGCUACAAGUGGUAUGCGAACCAGCCCUCUAGUGGUAAUGAAGACCAGAGAAAUCCACUGUGAUACAGCAAUAAAGUUUGUUGCUGUAUUGCUCUUAUACUGUGAAAAGUCCAAAGGAAAUAAGAUGAUACUUUAAAGUGCUAGGGCUUUUGUUUGUGAAGGAAAAUACAACCUUAAUGUUCCAAAGUUGGCAUUUCAAUAGAAAUUAAUAUAAUACAAGGUACCACAAUCCCUCAAUUGACAUAUAUGCACGUAAAGCCACGGGUGAGAUGCAUUUAAAGAGCUAGUGUGGUGCAGUGGGAAAAGUGUUGAACUUAGAGUAAGGAGACCCAAGGUUAAAUGUCUGUUCAGCCACAAAGCUUACUAGGUGACUUUGGGCCAUCUCUCAGAGGGUUGUUGUAAAGAUAAAAUAGAAGGGAGCCAUAUAUGCUGCCCUGAGCAUCUUAGAGGAAAGGGAAAUUUAAUAAAUGCUACAUGUUUCAGCAGUG
Molecule: long non-coding RNA, 861 nt
Organism: Hemicordylus capensis (graceful crag lizard)
Lineage: Eukaryota; Metazoa; Chordata; Lepidosauria; Squamata; Cordylidae
Exons: 2
Source: RefSeq, a predicted model, not a curated record